This 24-nucleotide small nuclear RNA is filed under the name Arabidopsis thaliana (thale cress). RNAcentral describes it as "snRNA_09773". The record is from RNAcentral. Lineage: Eukaryota; Viridiplantae; Streptophyta; Magnoliopsida; Brassicales; Brassicaceae.
GGGAUUUACACAAGGUUAAAUUCA